AAUUUAGUCCAAAUUUCUAGACUAUUUUGUGUAUUAAAUCCCUGUCCAGGACCAGCCAGGGUACACAAAACGACAAGUAAUAUACAGUUCCAAACGUAAAUAAAGCGUAAAAUACUUACAAAAGAGGCACUUAGUCCUCGCACCGAAACGAAAGCAGCAGCAGCGGAAAAGGGCGAUCCUAGCGGGGCUUCAGCUCCACUCCACAGGCAAAACUCAACUGGGGUCUGAGCCUUGGUCCUCUAACUCCAUCUUCAGCUCAGAAGCACUACACUUCUGAAAAAGGGGGAAUAAUAGCAAGACUGAGUACAACCACCGUACUCAGCAAGCCACACCAACGAUGCAGACGUGCAAGGGGAUACAAGGAGGGGUUUGUGGCUAUUUGCAUAAAGGCGGUUGUAAAACAUUUUAUUGAGCAAAACAGUAAAACUGUUGAGUAAUUAAAGUAACAUUAAAUCUCCACUGAUCAACGCUACACCACGUUGAACAGGCCCAACCAACCCACCUGGACUACAGUGUAUUGGGUCGAUUUAUUAAGAUGGGACUAAUCACGGUGAAUCUGGUCGACCGCCCAUAACCGCGGGCACGGCUAUUCGAAUAGUUUUACUCUGAUCAGAGGUGUACAACUGUACCCACAAGACACAGCCCCACAACACGUUUCCGUGCGCCGACAUGCCACCACGACAUAUCGGAAAGAGGCCGUGACAGGACCCUUCGCAUAACCCCCUCUAACCAAGCACACCACACCUCAGGUUUCACCCCCGUCCCCAGCGGGCAACGGGCAGUCCUCUCUCGUGCCUAGGUGAAUCCGGAAGCGACAGAGGCCGUCGCAGGGCCCGCCCCGCUCCAUCACGCCCACCCUUGCCUGGAUGCGUCAGCUAGAGGAAAGCUACACUACAAGCCCAGCCGUUGCCCACGCUGGCUUGUGGUAAGUACGAUAAGUUCUUCCAGGGCAUCCCGCGAACCGGUCCUUAACUGCCAUGGGUGCGACUAGCAAAACCAUGCACCCACAGCCCACUAUUCAGUUGCAUUUUAGUUGGAUAAUUACGACCAUGAAGCAUGGCCGGGUGUCUCGAGCACGCAGCUCACUCUGAUACUAAAGGGUCUAAUACUGCAAUUAUCCCAUCAACUGAGCUAGUGGUAAUUAAGCAUGGCUAAGCAUAUAGUUCUAGCUAGGUCACAUAAGUAACAUGAGCUAGUGGAUUCAUUACCCAAGGUUGACAAAGAACAGAUAUCAAGUAAACAUGGCACAAGCGAGCAGAUAGGUAAUACCCGGAUCCCAUGUAAUUAGUAAAACAUGCAUAUUUAUUUGUAAACGGUAAAACAUUUAUAAAUUGGGAUCAACAUGCUCAAGGGGAAUGUGUGACUUGCCUUGCUGCUUCACUUUGAUCUUCCGAACUCUUUUCCUCGCGACCGCGGACUUCCGAAA
Molecule: long non-coding RNA, 1426 nt
Filed under: Oryza sativa (Asian cultivated rice)
Lineage: Eukaryota; Viridiplantae; Streptophyta; Magnoliopsida; Poales; Poaceae
Description: long non-coding RNA (OSAT_LNC001323)
Source: RNAcentral